GUGCUCGCUUCGGCAGCACAUAUACUAAAAUUGGAACGAUACAGAGAAUAUUAGCAUGGCCCCUGUGCAAGGAUGACGCAAAUUUGUGAAGCAUUCCAUAUUUAA
This is a small nuclear RNA of Myotis lucifugus (little brown bat), 105 nucleotides long. The record is from Ensembl. Lineage: Eukaryota; Metazoa; Chordata; Mammalia; Chiroptera; Vespertilionidae.